CGGGUGAGUAUCGCGUGGGUAAUCUACCUUGAGGUGGGGGAUAGCCUCGGGAAACCGAGGGUAAUACCGCAUGAGUCCUCAAUGACAUAAGUCGAUGAGGGGAAAGGCGGGGCUCCUUCGGGACCUGUCGCCUCUAGAUGAGCCCGCGUCCGAUUAGCUAGUUGGUGGGGUAAAGGCCUACCAAGGCAACGAUCGGUAGCCGGCCUGAGAGGGUGAACGGCCACAUUGGGACUGAGACACGGCCCAG
This 247-nucleotide ribosomal RNA is filed under the name uncultured bacterium. RNAcentral describes it as "partial 16S ribosomal RNA". It matches the Rfam family "Bacterial small subunit ribosomal RNA", at positions 103 to 334 of the family's 1533-position model. The record is from RNAcentral.